Molecule: non-coding RNA, 45 nt
Filed under: Schistosoma margrebowiei
Lineage: Eukaryota; Metazoa; Platyhelminthes; Trematoda; Strigeidida; Schistosomatidae
Source: RNAcentral
AUCUAGUUGACGAAUCCCAAAUAGGACAUAACACUCGUCCUGGAU